GGAGCUUGCUCCAGGCGUCGAGCGGCGGACGGGUGAGUAAUGCAUAGGAAUCUGCCCGGUAGUGGGGGAUAACCUGGGGAAACCCAGGCUAAUACCGCAUACGUCCUACGGGAGAAAGCAGGGGAUCCGUGUUCUUCGGAAUGGGGACCUUGCGCUAUCGGAUGAGCCUAUGUCGGAUUAGCUGGUUGGUGAGGUAAUGGCUCACCAAGGCGACGAUCCGUAGCUGGUCUGAGAGGAUGAUCAGCCACAUCGGGACUGAGACACGGCCCGAACUCCUACGGGAGGCAGCAGUGGGGAAUAUUGGACAAUGGGCGCAAGCCUGAUCCAGCCAUGCCGCGUGUGUGAAGAAGGCUUUCGGGUUGUAAAGCACUUUCAGUGAGGAAGAAGGCCUUGGGGCCAAUACCCCCGAGGAAGGACAUCACUCACAGAAGAAGCACCGGCUAACUCCGUGCCAGCAGCCGCGGUAAUACGGAGGGUGCGAGCGUUAAUCGGAAUUACUGGGCGUAAAGCGCGCGUAGGUGGCGUGAUAAGCCGGUUGUGAAAGCCCCGGGCUCAACCUGGGAACGGCAUCCGGAACUGUCAGGCUAGAGUGCAGGAGAGGAAGGUAGAAUUCCCGGUGUAGCGGUGAAAUGCGUAGAGAUCGGGAGGAAUACCAGUGGCGAAGGCGGCCUUCUGGACUGACACUGACACUGAGGUGCGAAAGCGUGGGUAGCAAACAGGAUUAGAUACCCUGGUAGUCCACGCCGUAAAC
This 751-nucleotide ribosomal RNA is filed under the name uncultured Pseudomonadota bacterium. RNAcentral describes it as "bacterial SSU rRNA". It matches the Rfam family "Bacterial small subunit ribosomal RNA", at positions 75 to 807 of the family's 1533-position model. The record is from RNAcentral. Lineage: Bacteria; Pseudomonadati; Pseudomonadota.